RNAcentral lists this ribosomal RNA (1114 nucleotides) under Staphylococcus equorum. RNAcentral describes it as "bacterial SSU rRNA". It matches the Rfam family "Bacterial small subunit ribosomal RNA", at positions 19 to 1082 of the family's 1533-position model. The record is from RNAcentral. Lineage: Bacteria; Bacillati; Bacillota; Bacilli; Caryophanales; Staphylococcaceae.
GGGAGUGAGGGGGGGGGCUCCGGCUCGGCUAUACAUGUCUAGUCGAGCGAACUGAUUAGGAGCUUGCUCCUUUGAAGUUAGCGGCGGACGGGUGAGUAACACGUGGGUAACCUACCUAUAAGACUGGAAUAACUUCGGGAAACCGGAGCUAAUGCCGGAUAACAUUUGGAACCGCAUGAGUCUAAAGUAAAAGAUGGUUUUGCUAUCACUUAUAGAUGGACCCGCGCCGUAUUAGCUAGGUGGGAAGGUAACGGCUUACCAAGGCAACGAUACGUAGCCGACCUGAGAGGGUGAUCGGCCACACUGGAACUGAAACACGGUCCAGACUCCUACGGGAGGGAGCAGUAGGGAAUCUUUCGCAAUGGACGAAAGUCUGACGGAGCAACGCCGCGGGAGUGAUGGAGGUUUUCGGAUCGUAAAACUCUGUUAUUAGGGAAGAACAAAUGUGUAAGUUACUGUGCACAUCUUGACGGUACCUAAUCAGAAAGCCACGGCUAACUACGUGCCAGCAGCCGCGGUAAUACGUAGGGUGGCAAGCGUUAUCCGGAAUUAUUGGGCGUAAAGCGCGCGUAGGCGGUUUUCUUAAGUCUGAUGUGAAAGCCCACGGCUCAACCGUGGAGGGUCAUUGGAAACUGGGAAACUUGAGUACAGAAGAGGAAAGUGGAAUUCCAUGUGUAGCGGUGAAAUGCGCAGAGAUAUGGAGGAACACCAGUGGCGAGGCGACUUUUCUGGUCUGUAACUGACGCUGAGCGCGAAAGCGUGGGAUCAAACAGGAUUAGAUACCCUGGUAGUCCACGCCGUAAACGAUGAGUGCUAAGUGUUAGGGGGUUUCCGUCCUAUAGUGCUGCAGCUAAACGCAUUAAAGCACUCCGCUGGGGAGUACGAUCGCAAGAUUGAACCUCAAAGGAUGACGGGACUCGCAACAGCGGUUGGAGCAUGUGUUUAGUUGCGAGCACCGAAGAACUACCGAGUCUGACAUCUUGGAAACUCUAGGAAUGAGCCUCCCUUCGGGAACAAAGGACAGGGAGCAUGGUUGCGCACGCUCGGUCAGGAAUUGUAGUCCCGACGGCACUUGACUUAUGCCAGUAAGUGGACUCUAGGUGACGGCGGAUUA